This 58-nucleotide transfer RNA is filed under the name Mesocricetus auratus (golden hamster). It matches the Rfam family "tRNA", at positions 8 to 63 of the family's 71-position model. Rfam says of the family: Transfer RNA (tRNA) molecules are approximately 80 nucleotides in length. Their secondary structure includes four short double-helical elements and three loops (D, anti-codon, and T loops). Lineage: Eukaryota; Metazoa; Chordata; Mammalia; Rodentia; Cricetidae. The record is from Rfam by way of RNAcentral.
UAGCUCAGUCGUUAGAGCAUGGGACUCUUAAUCCCAGGGUUGUAGGUUCAAGCCCCAU